UUACAAACGGCCGUGCGUCCCGGCCAUCUCAAGGCUGUAACACGGGUUCGAAUCCCGUAGGGAGCGCCA
Molecule: transfer RNA, 69 nt
Filed under: Gammaproteobacteria bacterium
Lineage: Bacteria; Pseudomonadati; Pseudomonadota; Gammaproteobacteria
Description: tRNA-Glu
Source: RNAcentral